AAAAAAGAGCCAUAAUCAGGUGCACAGUGAAUUGUGCUCUCUCUAAGGACACACUGGUAUCGAUUCUCCAUGUGUGAGGCUGAGCCUGAGCUCCAGGGGCGCUGUGAGAAGCAGCUCUUUGUGUCUUUUCGCUGAUGGAGAAGGAGGAACGACAGACAUUCUGGCAUCCGUUUCUAGCCUCUCUCUGGCUGAGGCUCCCUGCGUUCUGGAGAAGAGGUGUUCAGAGGCCCACAGAAAUCACCAAGUCGCACCUACUUGUUGGAACAAGUCAAAUAAUAAGAGGUUGGAAAAGAAGAAAAUAAGCUCUUGAGAGCAACAAUCCUGUGGCUGACUUCUCAGGAAAAGUCCUACAUGAAGACCCCAGGAAUGAGAGAGAUGAAGGAGCCCCUCUCCUCAGCAUCGACGUCACCAAAGGAAGAGAGCUUCAGCCUGCCUACAUAAGUAUGUUGUGAAUUUGUAUGUUAAACCUGAAGACAAAGCCGAGCUUCUGGAACACUAGCUUGCAUGCUCCCAGAAACAUCUGCUCCAAGCAUCCUUCGGAUCUAUUUCACUGUUCUCUACUCUACAGUUAGAGCAUUAUUUAACUAAAUGCAUGAGUUGAUUUUUGUGGCACUGGAGACUGACCCUAGGGCCUUGAGCACGCUAAGCAAGUAAGUGCUCAGCCACUGAACUGUGUCCCAGGCCCUUUAUUUAUUUAUUAUUUUAUAAAACUGUAAACAAGA
Long non-coding RNA from Onychomys torridus (southern grasshopper mouse), 722 nucleotides. RefSeq lists it as uncharacterized. NCBI's taxonomy places the organism in Eukaryota, Metazoa, Chordata, Mammalia, Rodentia, Cricetidae. The record is from RefSeq and is a predicted model, not a curated record. The transcript is spliced from 3 exons.